Molecule: ribosomal RNA, 253 nt
Filed under: uncultured bacterium
Lineage: Bacteria
Description: partial 16S ribosomal RNA
Rfam family: Bacterial small subunit ribosomal RNA
Source: RNAcentral
UACGUAGGGUGCGAGCGUUAAUCGGAAUUACUGGGCGUAAAGGGUGCGCAGGCGGCGUCGCAAGUCAGGCGUGAAAUCCCCGGGCUUAACCUGGGAACUGCACUUGAAACUACGAUGCUGGAGUAUGGCAGAGGGAGGUGGAAUUCCACGUGUAGCGGUGAAAUGCGUAGAGAUGUGGAGGAACACCGAUGGCGAAGGCAGCCUCCUGGGCCAAUACCGACGUUCAGGCACGAAAGCGUGGGGAGCAAACAGG